ACUCCUACGGGAGGCAGCAGUGGGGAAUUUUGGACAAUGGGCGAAAGCCUGAUCCAGCAAUGCCGCGUGUGUGAAGAAGGCCUUCGGGUUGUAAAGCACUUUUGUCUGGAAAGAAAUCCUUGGUUCUAAUACAGCCGGGGGAUGACGGUACCGGAAGAAUAAGCACCGGCUAACUACGUGCCAGCAGCCGCGGUAAUACGUAGGGUGCGAGCGUUAAUCGGAAUUACUGGGCGUAAAGCGUGCGCAGGCGGUGAUGUAAGACCGAUGUGAAAUCCCCGGGCUUAACCUGGGAACUGCAUUGGUGACUGCAUUGCUCGAGUAUGGCAGAGGGGGGUGGAAUUCCACGUGUAGCAGUGAAAUGCGUAGAGAUGUGGAGGAACACCGAUGGCGAAGGCAGCCCCCUGGGCCAAUACUGACGCUCAUGCACGAAAGCGUGGGGAGCAAACAGGAUUAGAUACCCUGGUAGUCCACGCCCUAAACGAUGUCAACUGGUUGUUGGGGAUUCAUUUCCUUAGUAACGUAGCUAACGCGUGAAGUUGACCGCCUGGGGAGUACGGUCGCAAGAUUAAAACUUAAAGGAAUUGACG
Molecule: ribosomal RNA, 587 nt
Filed under: uncultured Burkholderia sp.
Lineage: Bacteria; Pseudomonadati; Pseudomonadota; Betaproteobacteria; Burkholderiales; Burkholderiaceae
Description: bacterial SSU rRNA
Rfam family: Bacterial small subunit ribosomal RNA
Source: RNAcentral